This 491-nucleotide ribosomal RNA is filed under the name uncultured bacterium. RNAcentral describes it as "partial 16S ribosomal RNA". It matches the Rfam family "Bacterial small subunit ribosomal RNA", at positions 29 to 506 of the family's 1533-position model. The record is from RNAcentral.
AGUGAACGCUGGCGGUAGGCCUAACACAUGCAAGUCGAACGGCAGCACAGUAAGAGCUUGCUCUUACGGGUGGCGAGUGGCGGACGGGUGAGGAAUACAUCGGAAUCUACUUUUUCGUGGGGGAUCACGUAGGGAAACUUACGCUAAUACCGCAUACGACCUACGGGUGAAAGCAGGGGAUCUUCGGACCUUGCGCGAUUGAAUGAGCCGCUGUCGGAUUAGCUAGUUGGCGGGGUAAAGGCCCACCAAGGCGACGAUCCGUAGCUGGUCUGAGAGGAUGAUCAGCCACACUGGAACUGAGACACGGUCCAGACUCCUACGGGAGGCAGCAGUGGGGAAUAUUGGACAAUGGGCGCAAGCCUGAUCCAGCCAUACCGCGUGGGUGAAGAAGGCCUGCGGGUUGUAAAGCCCUUUUGUUGGGAAAGAAAAGCAGCAGGUUAAUACCCCGCUGUUCUGACGGUACCCAAAGAAUAAGCACCGGCUAACUUCGU